GCAAAUGGUUAAUGUGCUCAGCUGCUAACUGAAAGGUUGGUGGUUCAAGUCCACC
Loxodonta africana (African savanna elephant) is the source of this 55-nucleotide transfer RNA. It matches the Rfam family "tRNA", at positions 10 to 63 of the family's 71-position model. Rfam says of the family: Transfer RNA (tRNA) molecules are approximately 80 nucleotides in length. Their secondary structure includes four short double-helical elements and three loops (D, anti-codon, and T loops). NCBI's taxonomy places the organism in Eukaryota, Metazoa, Chordata, Mammalia, Proboscidea, Elephantidae. The record is from Rfam.